CCUACGGGUGGCAGCAGUGGGGAAUCUUCCGCAAUGGACGAAAGUCUGACGGAGCAACGCCGCGUGAGUGAUGACGGCCUUCGGGGUGUAAAGCUCUGUUAAUCGGGACGAAAGGCCUUCUUGCGAAUAGUGAGAAGGAUUGACGGUACCGGAAUAGAAAGCCACGGCUAACUACGUGCCAGCAGCCGCGGUAAUACGUAGGUGGCAAGCGUUGUCCGGAAUUAUUGGGCGUAAAGCGCGCGCAGGCGGAUAGGUCAGUCUGUCUUAAAAGUUCGGGGCUUAACCCCGUGAUGGGAUGGAAACUGCCAAUCUAGAGUAUCGGAGAGGAAAGUGGAAUUCCUAGUGUAGCGGUGAAAUGCGUAGAUAUUAGGAAGAACACCAGUGGCGAAGGCGACUUUCUGGACGAAAACUGACGCUGAGGCGCGAAAGCCAGGGGAGCGAACGGGAUUAGAUACCCGUGUAGUC
This 465-nucleotide ribosomal RNA is filed under the name uncultured Veillonella sp. RNAcentral describes it as "bacterial SSU rRNA". It matches the Rfam family "Bacterial small subunit ribosomal RNA", at positions 338 to 795 of the family's 1533-position model. Lineage: Bacteria; Bacillati; Bacillota; Negativicutes; Veillonellales; Veillonellaceae. The record is from RNAcentral.